Molecule: non-coding RNA, 94 nt
Organism: Mycena latifolia
Lineage: Eukaryota; Fungi; Basidiomycota; Agaricomycetes; Agaricales; Mycenaceae
Source: the annotation of a GenBank genome assembly
UUCUUCGUGGAGCAGGGCAGCUUAAUCCCACUGUGUAUUCAUAAAGAGUCUGUGUAAAAUGAGAGAGGCGGUGGUUCGAAUCCACCCGAAGACA